AGCAGCCGCGGUAAUUCCAGCUCCAAUAGCGUAUAUUAAAGUUGUUGCAGUUAAAAAGCUCGUAGUUGAACUUCAGGCCUGGCUGGACGGUCCGCCUUCCGGGCGAGUACUGUCUGUGGUCGGGUCCUACCUUCUGGCGAAGCGUCAUGGCCUUAACCGGCCGUGGCGGGGAACCAGGACUUUUACUGUGAAAAAUUAGAGUGUUCAAAGCAGGCAAUUCGCUUGGAUACAUUAGCAUGGAAUAAUGGAAUAGGACAAUGGUUCUAUUUGUUGGUUUCUAGGACUGUUGUAAUGAUUAAUAGGGAUAGUUGGGGGCAUUAGUAUUCAAUUGUCAGAGGUGAAAUUCUUGGAUUUAUUGAAGACUAACUACUGCGAAAGCAUUUGCCAAGGAUGUUUUCAUUAAUCAAGAACGAAAGUUAGGGGAUCGAAGACGAUCAGAUACCGUCGUAGUCUUAACCAUAAACUAUGCCGACUAGGAAUCGGGCGAUGUUGACAAAAUGACGCGCUCGGCA
Molecule: ribosomal RNA, 512 nt
Filed under: uncultured Paraglomus
Lineage: Eukaryota; Fungi; Glomeromycota; Glomeromycetes; Paraglomerales; Paraglomeraceae
Description: SSU rRNA
Rfam family: Eukaryotic small subunit ribosomal RNA
Source: RNAcentral